This 1007-nucleotide long non-coding RNA is filed under the name Sus scrofa (pig). RNAcentral describes it as "lncRNA (ENSSSCG00050055284.1)". The record is from RNAcentral. Lineage: Eukaryota; Metazoa; Chordata; Mammalia; Artiodactyla; Suidae.
AUGUGGGUUCAAUCCCUGGCCUUGCUCAGUGGGUUAAGGAUCUGGUGUUGCUGUGGUUGCAGUGUAGGCCAGCAGCUGCAGCCUGAUUUGACAGAUUUGACCCCUAGCCUGGGAACUUCCAUAUGCCAUGGGUGCGGCCCUAAAAAAAACCCAAAAAAAGCCAGGACAUGGAAACAACCCAAAUGUCCAUCGACAGAUGAUUGGAUUCGGAAGAUGUGUUAUAUAUACACAAUGGAAUACUACUCAGCCAUAAAAAAGAAUGACAUAAUGCCAUUUGCAGCAACAUAGAUGGAACUAGAGAAUCUCAUACUGAGUGAAAUGAGCCAGAAAGACAAAGACAAAUACCAUAUGAUAUCACUUAUAACUGGAAUCUAAUAUCCAGCACAAAUGAACAUCUCCACAGAAAAGAAAAUCAUGGACUUGGCGAAAAGACUUGUGGCUGCCUGAUGGGAGGGGGAGGGAGUGGGAGGGAUUGGGAGCUUGGGCUUAUCAGACACAACUUAGAAUAGAUUUACAAGGAGAUCCUGCUGAAUAGCAUUGAGAACUUUGUCUAGAUACUCAUGUUGCAACAGAACAAAGGGUGGGGGGAAAAUGUAAUUGUAAUGUAUACAUGUAAGGAUAACCUGACCCCCUUGCUGUACAGUGGGAAAAUUAAAAAAAAUUAUAAAAAAAAACAAAAAAAUCAAAACCUCAGAAUCCACAAAAGUAUAUUCUUUUUUUUUUUUCCUAGGAACAACACACGNAAAAAAUCAAAACCUCAGAAUCCACAAAAGUAUAUUCUUUCUUUUUUUUUUUUUUUUUCUAGGAACAACACACAGUGGUGCAUCUUUAUUCUAUAUCUGGUCACAGCAAAUCUCACACAGCCCACAAAGAUGAAUCCUAGACAGCCUGUUCAAUAAGUGGUGCUGAGAAAACUGGACAGCCACAUGUAAAAGAAUGAAAUUAGAACACUUCCUAAGACCAUACACAAAAAUAAACUCAAGAUGGAUUAAAGACCUAGAUAUAAA